GACGAACGCUGGCGGUGUGCUUAACACAUGCAAGUCGAACGGUAAGGCCCUUUCGGGGGUACACGAGUGGCGAACGGGUGAGUAACACGUGAGUAACCUGCCCUCAUCUCUGGGAUAACAGUCGGAAACGGUUGCUAAUACUGGAUAUGAGCCUGCAAGGCAUCUUGUGGGUUGGAAAGAUUUUUUGGUUGGGGAUGGACUCGCGACCUAUCAGCUUGUUGGUGAGGUAGUGGCUCACCAAGGCUUCGACGGGUAGCCGGCCUGAGAGGGCGACCGGCCACAUUGGGACUGAGAUACGGCCCAAACUCCUACGGGAGGCAACAGUGGGGAAUAUUGCACAAUGGACGGAAGUCUGAUGCAGCAACGCCGCGUGCGGGAUGACGGCCUUCGGGUUGUAAACCGCUUUCAAUUGUGACGAAGCUUUUUGUGACGGUAGCAGUAGAAGAAGCACCGGCUAACUACGUG
RNAcentral lists this ribosomal RNA (465 nucleotides) under uncultured bacterium. RNAcentral describes it as "partial 16S ribosomal RNA". It matches the Rfam family "Bacterial small subunit ribosomal RNA", at positions 28 to 507 of the family's 1533-position model. The record is from RNAcentral.